Molecule: long non-coding RNA, 497 nt
Filed under: Chinchilla lanigera (long-tailed chinchilla)
Lineage: Eukaryota; Metazoa; Chordata; Mammalia; Rodentia; Chinchillidae
Description: lncRNA (ENSCLAG00000023644.1)
Source: RNAcentral
UAGCAAACAAAUCUUGGCCUAUUUCUGUGGGCUGUAGUUCCAGUAACAAUGUAAUUUUCUCAGGUUGUGUAGUUGCUCUAUGUAUUUGAUGCUUCUAGGUUGUCUCAGGUUGCUGUAUUUAUUUGAUGCUUCUAGGGCUCCAUCUGGUCCCUCCUGAGACUACUUGAGGGGGUGGCUGGAGCUUCUCCAGGCUGGGUCCCUUGGCACCUCCAAAGGAGAAUCUGCUGCAAAGUCACGGAUUGUCUUGCAUCUAAGAAUCAGCUGUUCAGCUUUCUCUGUCCCUGUGCAGGUGCCACAGCAACUGGGAAAGCACUGUAGAGAAAGUCACAGAAGGGGAAGUGGACAUCCAGAAUGUUGUCUGCUUGAGAUCAGAACCAGCUCCCACAUCCAGACACCAAGAUCUGCUCCAUACCCAGCACAAGUCCUACUGCAAAUGUGGCAAGAUUACACAGUAUAUUUCUGGGAUCUGACUUGGAUGCUACCACAGAAUGGUGAAC